Non-coding RNA from Penicillium oxalicum, 106 nucleotides. The record is from the annotation of a RefSeq genome assembly. Lineage: Eukaryota; Fungi; Ascomycota; Eurotiomycetes; Eurotiales; Aspergillaceae.
GCCCGAGUGGUCUAGUGGUAGAAUACGCCCUUCGGGUCACAUGAUCCGGUCGGAGGAAAUCCGACUCUGUUUGGGCGUGACCCGCGUUCGAUUCGCGGCUCGGGCC